This 232-nucleotide ribosomal RNA is filed under the name uncultured Buellia. Its description in RNAcentral is "partial small subunit ribosomal RNA". It matches the Rfam family "Bacterial small subunit ribosomal RNA", at positions 524 to 776 of the family's 1533-position model. Lineage: Eukaryota; Fungi; Ascomycota; Lecanoromycetes; Caliciales; Caliciaceae. The record is from RNAcentral.
UACGUAAAAGACUAGUGUUACUCAUCUUGAAUAGGUUUAAAGGGUACCUAGACGGCCAAUCAAGCCCCAAAAGGGUACUAAUCGGCUAGAGUUUAAUAUAAGUAGGCUUUAAAGUACUGAGAAUGUUGAGAGAUGAAAUUCUGUGAUACUAUAUACGGCACUGGUAAAGGCGAAAGCAUCUUAUUAUGUAAAAACUGACGUUGAGGGACGAAGGCUGUGUGUAGCAAAAAGG